CGUUAGGGCUUCGGCAACCUGGGCCACCGACGCCAACUGAUUGACUACAUCCGGCAGGAAGAUAUCGACAUAGUAGGUCUUCAGGAGACGAUUCGUCAGGACUUCUCCAUCCAGGAGUUACGGGGGCUUUCUCGACACCCAUUUGCAUGGCAAUGGCUGCCGGCGUCUGGGUUGUGUGGAGGAAUUCUCCUGGGGGUCAGGGAGGAUUUCUUUUCAGAUGAGGAUAUGGACCGCGCAGAGUUUUGCCUUAGCAUGUCCAUCACCGACCGAUGUGUGAACCUCAAUUGGGAGGUGAUCAUUGUCUAUGGCCUGGCUGAUCACGGGUGGUCGGCGGCGUUCCUGGACGAGCUUCAAGAUAAGGUAGAAUGUUGCACGACCCCAUUUGUGGUGGCGGGUGCUUUCAACCUUAUCAGACAGGAAGCAGACAAAAGCUCGCCCAACAUCGACCGGCGGCGUAUGCGCAUGUUCAACGAUUCCAUAGCAGGGAUGGCCUUAUGUGAGAUAGCCGGGUAG
RNAcentral lists this ribosomal RNA (513 nucleotides) under Triticum aestivum (bread wheat). Its description in RNAcentral is "partial small subunit ribosomal RNA". The record is from RNAcentral. Lineage: Eukaryota; Viridiplantae; Streptophyta; Magnoliopsida; Poales; Poaceae.